Molecule: ribosomal RNA, 450 nt
Filed under: uncultured bacterium
Lineage: Bacteria
Description: partial 16S ribosomal RNA
Rfam family: Bacterial small subunit ribosomal RNA
Source: RNAcentral
CCUACGGGGGGCUGCAGUGGGGAAUAUUGGACAAUGGGCGAAAGCCUGAUCCAGCAAUACCGCGUGUGUGAAGAAGGCCUGAGGGUUGUAAAGCACUUUCAAUGGGAAGGAAUACCUACCGGCUAAUACCCGGUAGACUGACAUUACCCAUACAAGAAGCACCGGCUAACUCCGUGCCAGCAGCCGCGGUAAUACGGCGGGUGCAAGCGUUAAUCGGAAUCACUGGGCGUAGGCUUUGCCUAGGCGGCUUGAAAGCCCUGGGCUUAACCGGGGAACUGCAUUUGAUACUGGCAGGCUAGAGUUUAGUAGAGGGGAGUGGAAUUUCAGGUGUAGCGGUGAAAUGCGUAGAGAUCUGAAGGAACACCAGUGGCGAAGGCGGCUCCCUGGACUAAAACUGACGCUGAGGUACGAAAGCGUGGGUAGCAAACAGGAUUAGAUACCCCAGUAGUC